CCAAAAAAUCCACAGAAAAUACUCUUGCAUCAUUUUCCCUGGUAAUCUCUGGAAUAAAAGCUGGUUCCAAUGUGGCAGUGCUCUCAAGGCUCUGAUUCCCUAAACUGCCGAGACCAGCUCAGCAGGAUGGGGCUGAAGAACAGAUGUCAGCUCUCUCCUUGAUAUCUUCUGACUGCAGACUGCAGACAGUAAAAUACCUCCAAGGGGUAUCCUGGAAGAGCCCUCACUAGCAUUGAGCCUUAGAGGCUACGUGUCAAAGUUGGAAGAAGCCUGGCCCCUGAAUCGGUGCUCGGCAGAGAGCCUACUUCAGGUCAGAGGAAGGAGAUUUGGAGACAAGUGAGGAACGUCUGUAUUCCUGUAUCGCAGGUGGAAUGAAGCUCAGCAGCCUUCUAGCUGUUACUGCCCUUUCACAUAGGAGCAAAGUAAAGCCUGGAAUGACUGAAUGACUUGACUAGCUUGACAUAGCAGAGACCCUGGGCCUACUGAUCUUUUUUCUAUGCAAGAGCAGAUACAUCCCCGCCAAGCCAAUCCUGGUGAGACCUGGACUGAGGAAGGGGAAAGUUGCUGAAAGCUUGCUGGUCAAAGACAUGGGCUUGCACAGCACCUGCCACAGGAAAGGCAGUGUUUCUCAAGCUUUCCUGCACAUAAGGAGGACCUUUAAAAAAUGUCGUGGCAGGAAGAGAAAAGAAUGAAGAUUCACAGUGGAGACCAUGAGGCAAUAAUUCCACUUUACUCCAUCUAAUUUCUUUGGCUGAAUCUCAUGCUGAACUCUAAAUCCUGGUGAUCUGUAUGGAGACCCAGUGACCCUCGAGGCGACAAACGUGUAAGAGUUCAAAACAACAGAACCUUUUAUCUGAGAAAAAUGGAAAUCAUUCCAAAUGCUUGAAGGGGCAUGUAGUGGUUUCCAAACUCCAGUGUGCCUGAGACGCUCACUGGAAACUUGCUCAACUUAUCUAUGUAAGUAAUUCUAAAUCAGCUGGUUUGGACUGAAGCCUGCAGAUCUGCAUUUUUAACAAGCACUCUGGAAAUAUCCUCUGAUUGAGAAAUGCUGAACUCGGAGCAAGACCUUAGAGCUUGAUUGCAUUAUAUGAUGGGGACAUUGCAAAAGGUGAGAGGAAAAUAAUUUUUUUAAUUAAAAAAACCUAGUUUCUCUUAGGUAACUCAUAUUUAGAAUAUUCAUGUUGGAAAUCAUUUCUAAAGAUAAAAAUAUGUCUCCUUUCCUUCUCCUUUCCUCCUCUACUUUUUUCUCUUUUGAACCUGGGAAAGGGGAUUUUUGGUAUUUCCCCUUCAUGAAUGCAAGCCAUUUAUAUAAACACCCAUCCCAAGUGGAAUAGCCAAGCCACAAGCUUCCAUGGGCUUCUAAGUCUCAGACACAUUGCCCUGCACCCCAAGGUCAAAUACUAGCUAAGGCUCCCGUGGUUUGGGGCAACACGGUUUGACACACUUGUGCUAGACCCCCACUCUCUGUCCCCAGAAAAGGUGAGGCAGAGAGUGAGAGAAUCGGAUAGAGAUGAUGUGCUGGGGACAGCCUAUCAAAUAUAGGGUGUGGGAAGGCUCGGAGCACUGCUCACCGGUUAUGGUAGACGCGUUGCCCCAGGAAACCACAAGAGAGAGUCCAUAACAUAGGCCCAGAAAUGGGCUCAUAGACAGUAUUUUACCCUGGGUUAAUAAUUUUCUUCUCAUAGUCUUUUAAAAUGAGUCGUAUGCGUGUAUAUGUAUGCCAUAUUAUAGUUAUACACCUCUUUUGUGUGUGUGUGUGAGGGAUUGAUUGCUACCAUCUUACUCAUGUGAAAAGAGAAGGUUAAGAGCCCCUGGCAUAUGCCUCAGAUACUAUGAUGUAUUUUCUUAUAUAUUUUCUCACUGGACCCUUGCAGCAGCUUUGUGAGGAAGGUGGACCUGAUAUUAUUCUUCUCAUUGUGAAGGGAUGGAGAUUUAGAGAGUUGAUGUGUUGUAAAACUUUGAACAAGUUAUUCUACCCUUCUGAACUUCUGUUGUGGUUAUUGUUUAACCUAUAAAGUAGGGGGUUUAUCUUUUUUUUUUUUUUUUUUUUUUUUUUUGUCUUUUUAGCUAUUUCUUGGGCUUCUCCUGCGGCAUAUGGAGGUUCCCAGGCUCGGGGUCAAAUUGGAGCUGUAGCCACUGGCCUACGCCAGAGCCACGGCAACGCAGGAUCCGAGCCGCGUCUGCAACCUACACCACAGCUCACGGCAACGCCGGAUCGUUAACCCACUGAGCAAGAGCAGGGACCGAAGCCGCAACCUCAUGGUUCCUAGUCGGAUUCGUUAACCACUGCGCCACGACGGGAACUCCAUAAUUAACUUAGUUUAAAUUGCCUAGCCUGAAAAGCCCUUUGUCUCAUGGCUUCUCCUUCCAAAUUCAGUAUAUCUUCUAAAUGCAUGGCUUAACAAAGAGGGUGACCCUCACUUAAUUGGAGUCCCACGAAUCCUACUCUAUCUAGGGUAAUGAAGUCAAGAAAAGUCCCUACACUGCUGUCUACCCGCAGGCCGGGAUGGUCUGUGUGGACCAGCCUUCUCUGUGAGGUCGUAUGUUAAGGCUACCCUUUGAGGUCAUGUGACCCUCCUCCUGGAUAUUCCCCUGAACCCAGAUGCUCAGAGUCCAAGAAUCUGGCUGUAGUGAGAGUACCAUGACAGCAGCAGCAGCCCCCUGACAAGACGGUCCCUUUGGCCAGAGCUGGUAGACAUCAGCUUGCUGGAGUUUUAAGGCAGCCACAUCUAUGUCCAUUGGACUUGAGUUCCAGACUUUUUGCCUCCCCACCUUGAAAGUGAUGAAAUAAUGCCUUCCGGGUAGCACCCAAUGAUCAGAUUAUCAAUCUUGCAUGACAUGGCUGAACAAGUCAAGCCUGUGAGUUAGAAGAUCUCAUCCUAGGUAGCUGUGUGACCUUGGGAAAGUCACUUGACCUCUCUGAACUCUGAUUUCCACAUCUUUAAAACAAAUUCAGGUUGGUCAAAUAAUCUCGAAGCCAGGUUCUUCUCAAGCAUUUAACAGGCUUUAAGAAUCAAGUGGGGGAUGGAGGAUAUUGUGAGAAAAAGAAUGUAUGUAUGUAUGUGUGACUGAGUCACUUUGCUGUACAGUAGAAAAUUGACAGAACGCUGUAAAUGAGCUAUAAUGGAAAAAAAUAAAAAUCAUUU
Molecule: long non-coding RNA, 3146 nt
Filed under: Sus scrofa (pig)
Lineage: Eukaryota; Metazoa; Chordata; Mammalia; Artiodactyla; Suidae
Description: lncRNA (ENSSSCG00045021611.1)
Source: RNAcentral